AUGGGGUUCAUUCACAAGGGUGGGGUUUGGUGGUUCCUCCUGCUCGCCGGGGUGCUGCUGGCUGCGGCGGCGGCAGCAGGCGCGGAGCAGGACGAUGGGGCGGUAGCCACUGCUGUCCCGGAGGUGGAGGAGGCGGAUGAGGCCCGUCUGCGCGUCGAUGAUCCGGAGGAGAACGACUCGUGCGACCUCAAGUGCCAACACCACCAAGUUCCGGCGAGGAAAAAGCAGUGCGUGGACGAGUGCCACAGCCGGGAGCAUCACCACCCCAGCAGAGCGUCUUGCGAGAACAAGUGUAGCCACUGGCAAGACCCGACGAGGAAGGACCAGUGCGUGCAACAGUGCAUGCGCCGCGGCCUCAGCCUCGCUGUGGGCGGCGGCAACGACGUCGACGAGCACCGCCACGCCCAAGAGGAGGAGGUCGCCGGGCGUCCGUGCGACAGGGAGUGCCAACUGUCUUGCCAAAGGAAGUGCCAGGGCUGGAAAGAUCGGACCAAGCACCAACAGUGCGUGCGACAAUGCGUUCGCGGCAGCAACAUCGUCGACGACGAGCACCUCCGCGGCUGGGAAGCGGUGGCCGGCGCCAUCAUCGAGGCGGUGUGA
Molecule: ribosomal RNA, 600 nt
Filed under: Triticum aestivum (bread wheat)
Lineage: Eukaryota; Viridiplantae; Streptophyta; Magnoliopsida; Poales; Poaceae
Description: partial small subunit ribosomal RNA
Source: RNAcentral